UGGAGUGUAGUUCAAUGGUAGAGCACAUGUUUAACAUGCAUGAGGCCCUGGGUUCAAUUUCCAGCACCCCCG
RNAcentral lists this transfer RNA (72 nucleotides) under Heterocephalus glaber (naked mole-rat). It matches the Rfam family "tRNA". Rfam says of the family: Transfer RNA (tRNA) molecules are approximately 80 nucleotides in length. Their secondary structure includes four short double-helical elements and three loops (D, anti-codon, and T loops). The record is from Rfam by way of RNAcentral. Lineage: Eukaryota; Metazoa; Chordata; Mammalia; Rodentia; Bathyergidae.